CCUACGGGAGGCAGCAGUGGGGAAUAUUGCGCAAUGGGCGAAAGCCUGACGCAGCGACGCCGCGUGAGGGAUGAAGGUCUUCGGAUCGUAAACCUCUGUCAGUAGGGAAGAACGGUCACUGUGCUAUUCAGCAGUGAAUUGACGGUACCUACAAAGAAAGUCCCGGCUAACUCCGUGCCAGCAGCCGCGGUAAUACGGAGGGGGCGAGCGUUGAUCGGAUUUAUUGGGCGUAAAGCGCGCGUAGGCGGUUUGUUAAGUCUGGGGUGAAAGCCCUGGGCUCAACCGGGGAACUGCCUUUGAAACUGGCAAACUUGAGUGUGUGAGAGGAGAGUGGAAUUCCAGGUGUAGGAGUGAAAUGCGUAGAUAUCUGGAAGAACAGCAGUGGCGAAGGCGACUCUCUGGCCCAACACUGACGCUGAGGAGCGAAAGCGUGGGUAGCGAACAGGAUUAGAUACCCUGGUAGUC
Molecule: ribosomal RNA, 465 nt
Filed under: uncultured bacterium
Lineage: Bacteria
Description: partial 16S ribosomal RNA
Rfam family: Bacterial small subunit ribosomal RNA
Source: RNAcentral